This 306-nucleotide ribosomal RNA is filed under the name uncultured bacterium. Its description in RNAcentral is "partial 16S ribosomal RNA". It matches the Rfam family "Bacterial small subunit ribosomal RNA", at positions 507 to 807 of the family's 1533-position model. The record is from RNAcentral.
GACAGCAGUAGCCGCGGUAAUACGGAGGGUGCAAGCGUUAAUCGGAAUUACUGGGCGUAAAGCGCACGCAGGCGGUCUGACAAGUCAGAUGUGAAAUCCCCGGGCUUAACCUGGGAACUGCAUUUGAAACUGUCAGGCUGGAGUCUUGUAGAGGGGGGUAGAAUUCCAGGUGUAGCGGUGAAAUGCGUAGAGAUCUGGAGGAAUACCGGUGGCGAAGGCGGCCCCCUGGACAAAGACUGACGCUCAGGUGCGAAAGCGUGAGGAGCAAACAGGAUUAGAUACCCGCGUAGUCCCUGUCUCUUAUAC